AUACAACUUUCAACAAUGGAUCUCUUGGCUCUCGCAUCGAUGAAGAACACAGCGAAAUGUGAUAAGUAAUGUGAAUUGCAGAAUCCAGUGAAUCAUCGAAUCUUUGAACGCAUCUUGCGCUCCUUGGCAUUCCGAGGAGCAUGCCUGUUUGAGUGUCAUUAA
This 162-nucleotide ribosomal RNA is filed under the name Amanita liquii. RNAcentral describes it as "5.8S ribosomal RNA". It matches the Rfam family "5.8S ribosomal RNA". Rfam says of the family: 5.8S ribosomal RNA (5.8S rRNA) is a component of the large subunit of the eukaryotic ribosome. It is transcribed by RNA polymerase I as part of the 45S precursor that also contains 18S and 28S rRNA. Functionally, it is thought that 5.8S rRNA may be involved in ribosome translocation. Lineage: Eukaryota; Fungi; Basidiomycota; Agaricomycetes; Agaricales; Amanitaceae. The record is from RNAcentral.